ACGCAGAGUGAAUCGGUCCCUAAGGAACCCCCGAAAGGGCUGCCGUCCGAUGGGUACACGAAAGUGACGAAGUUGCUUUGACUACUGAACCAUGCCUGUCUGUUGGAGCGAAUUGGAUGAUCGGGCCGAGGGCUGCCCCCUCUUCCCCUCGCUCUCCUUUCCUUAAUAUGAACCUUGAGUCAUCAAAGCCUUAACUAAUUCAGAGGGGCUCGGCUGGCCCGGUCGCCCUACGCUACUGGCGCUUCCAAAGGCGAAGCUCUCGUCUUUGGCGACCAGCAAACGGAGGGCGCGCGCCCUGUAGUUUUGAAGCAGGGGCGGACACUUUUUUUCUCUAAAGGCGAAGACUCUUAAGUGGGCGAACACUCGGCCCAGCGGGCGAACAUGCCGGGCUCCGGCUCCGCGCACCUGCUGACACCUUUCGAAGCACUUUCACGUGUGAACCGAAGUCGUCUUGCGUCACUCGUUCCUUUCUCAUUUCAGUGCUCGCCUUUUUUCAUCUUCCGUAGGGGCCUUGAUUUGAUUAGAGUAGAGGUCGCGAGAGAGCAGAGCGUACCGCCCUGCCAUAGUCGCGAGGAUCUUUAUAGUCGGUCGCGACUGUUGUCAUAGUCAACGACGGUUGAAACUUCCAGGAAAAAACUUCGAAUUGGGAGGGCGAUCCUCCCGGUGAACUGACCGUACCCCAAACCGACACAGGUGAACAAGUAGAGUAUACUA
Molecule: long non-coding RNA, 714 nt
Filed under: Phoenix dactylifera (date palm)
Lineage: Eukaryota; Viridiplantae; Streptophyta; Magnoliopsida; Arecales; Arecaceae
Description: long non-coding RNA (PDAC_LNC000002)
Source: RNAcentral